CCCUUAGAUGUUCUGGGCCGCACGCGCGCUACACUGAUGCAUUCAACGAGUCUAAAACCUGCUCUGAUAGGGGUGGGUAAUCUUUUGAAACUUCAUCGUGCUGGGGAUAGACCAUUGCAAUUAUUGGUCUUGAACGAGGAAUUCCUAGUAAGCAUGAGUCAUCAACUCGUGCUGAUUACGUCCCUGCCCUUUGUACACACCGCCCGUCGCUACUACCGAUUGAAUGGUUUAGUGAGAUCUCGGGAUUGGAGACGUUGCGCCGCAAGGCACAUCGUCCUCGAGAACUUGAUCAAACUUGAUCAUUUAGAGGAAGUAAAAGUCGUAACA
RNAcentral lists this ribosomal RNA (327 nucleotides) under uncultured eukaryote. RNAcentral describes it as "partial 18S ribosomal RNA". It matches the Rfam family "Eukaryotic small subunit ribosomal RNA", at positions 1470 to 1796 of the family's 1831-position model. The record is from RNAcentral.